AUGGUCAACAUAUUUUUCUUGCAAAAUCAGAUGAGGAGCAGAUGUUUUGCACUCAGUACUUCUAGCUGUAUGCUGAGAGAUGAUGAACAGGUGCAGAAGUCAAGCUGCUACUUAGCACUGUAAAAGAAAGCAUUUCUGAGUUGGACAGGAAUUGAGGAAAUAUCUGGGAAUGAUGUCUCCAUUUAAUCAAAUUUAACACUGGAGUGUUGUCAUAGAAGAUGACGCUCACUAUGUUAUUGUAACCAGGUAACGAUGACUUUAUACUGAUAUUCUUUGAUUAUUAGUUGCAUAUAAUGUUAUAUCACUGCUGACUGUGAAAUGGAC
RNAcentral lists this long non-coding RNA (324 nucleotides) under Coturnix japonica (Japanese quail). RNAcentral describes it as "lncRNA (ENSCJPG00005021507.1)". Lineage: Eukaryota; Metazoa; Chordata; Aves; Galliformes; Phasianidae. The record is from RNAcentral.